UACCGCGGUCCAUAAGAUCGUUCCACGCUUGACCAAAAGGCCGUCCUUCGGGGCGGCCUUUUUUUGUUUCAGCG
This 74-nucleotide unclassified non-coding RNA is filed under the name Tropicimonas isoalkanivorans. RNAcentral describes it as "suhB". Lineage: Bacteria; Pseudomonadati; Pseudomonadota; Alphaproteobacteria; Rhodobacterales; Roseobacteraceae. The record is from RNAcentral.